RNAcentral lists this small RNA (29 nucleotides) under Bombyx mori (domestic silkworm). Its description in RNAcentral is "ovarian small RNA-11440". The record is from RNAcentral. Lineage: Eukaryota; Metazoa; Arthropoda; Insecta; Lepidoptera; Bombycidae.
ACGAGGCCGCGCCGGUAUAUUGCUACAUA